CAGACAUUACAAUAAUAAUGUAAAUAAAUCAUGAAAAAUAAUUAAAUUAUCAGUGUCGACGUUUCACUCGAUCAGAUCAUCACAGUCCAGACUGUGUUGGGCGGUCUUCGGGAUUUUUCGACUGGAUUCAACGAACUGCAUCAAGAUAAACCUUUGUGGAAACUGACUUCUCAGAACGGUGGCAGCAAUCCUGGGCUUAGAAUUAAGCACGGCCAAAAGUUUCUGCUGUUAACCCGAUGCCUGGGGUAGCGCAGCUGCGAUGUCAAGUCACGGUUUGGAUUUACUUCUAGAGAGAGCUUCAGGGAAACUAUGGAGGAGCAAGUUUAUGUAAGAGAAUUAGGCUUUAAAGAGGAAGAUCAUUUGAGGAUGAAAGUAUGUAAACUCAAUGAUUCUGAUUGAAGUGAGCCUCUGAAUCAGGCUUUGUGAGGAUUUACCUUUAAUAAUGUUUCAUUUGAAUUGUUAAAAUCUCAUUUAGUGAAACUCUGUCUGUCUCUAUAAAAUGUAUUAGAGGAAUAACUGAAUAGCUGCAGGAAUACAAAUUAAAUUAAUAUUUUUUAGAUUUAGAUAGCAAGCUUUAACAAAUACUUCUCCAGUGAUCUGAGUCACAUCAGUUCUAUUUCUUCUUCAAAUUUAUUUUCAAAUAUUCUCCUGUCCCUGUUUUUAGUUGGCAGUAAAUGUGUAUUCCACCUUUUUUUCUCAAUAAUAAACAGCUUUGCAUGAACGUGCAUCGUUUACACCAGGUUGUUUGUGUUGUCUGCUGGGAUGAGAGUUUGCAUUUUUAUUUUAUUUCUGCUCAGCCCAGGUCCAGCAGAGGAAGAUCCCUUCAGGAGAUACAGUAGAUGAUAUAGCAAUACAUAUUUAUUGCUUAUAUUUGUGCCUCAUGUGAUUUUUUUUUUUUUUUUAAAUGCUUGCACACAUUAUCUUCAUAUGACAUGUCUUUCUUGUAGCCCGCAGUACCUCAUUAAUGCUCCCAGUUAAAAAACCUCUGCAUGUGCCAACCUAACAUGGUAACAUUGCGCUGAAACAACAUUUCCAGUGUGUUGAAAUGAGGGGUUUCUGGCUAUGCUCGGGAGUGCUUCCCUGGAUGAACAGACUUAAUGUUUCAAAUAAAAUUUAUGCUUCAACAUCUCAAACACUUCUU
Long non-coding RNA from Girardinichthys multiradiatus, 1141 nucleotides. RefSeq lists it as uncharacterized. The transcript is spliced from 3 exons. Lineage: Eukaryota; Metazoa; Chordata; Actinopteri; Cyprinodontiformes; Goodeidae. The record is from RefSeq and is a predicted model, not a curated record.